CCCUUAGAUGUUCUGGGCAGCACGCGCGCUACAAUGGUCUUCGCAAACGGAUGCAUUCUCGAAGGAGAAUGCCAAUCUUGGAAUCUAUGCCUUGGUCGGGACAGUUGCUUGCAAUUUUUCGACUCGAACCAGGAAUUCCUUGUAAUCGUGAUUCAUCACAUCACGGUGAAUACGUCCCUGCCCUUUGUACACACCGCCCGUCGCUCCUACCGAUCGAAGAGUUAGGUGAAUUGUUUUGAUCGAUAAGAUUUGACUAUGGUCAACUCUCGUUGGGAAAUUCUGUGAAUCUGACUGUUUAGAGGAAGGAAAAGUCGUAACA
This 319-nucleotide ribosomal RNA is filed under the name uncultured eukaryote. Its description in RNAcentral is "partial 18S ribosomal RNA". It matches the Rfam family "Eukaryotic small subunit ribosomal RNA", at positions 1470 to 1796 of the family's 1831-position model. The record is from RNAcentral.